GAAGAGCGGCGGACGGGUGAGUAACGCGUGGGUAACCUGCCCUGUACACACGGAUAACAUACCGAAAGGUAUGCUAAUACGAGAUAAUAUACUUUUAUCGCAUGGUAGAAGUAUCAAAGCUUUUGCGGUACAGGAUGGACCCGCGUCUGAUUAGCUAGUUGGUAAGGUAACGGCUUACCAAGGCGACGAUCAGUAGCCGACCUGAGAGGGUGAUCGGCCACAUUGGAACUGAGACACGGUCCAAACUCCUACGGGAGGCAGCAGUGGGGAAUAUUGCACAAUGGGCGGAAGCCUGAUGCAGCAACGCCGCGUGAGCGAUGAAGGCCUUCGGGUCGUAAAGCUCUGUCCUCAAGGAAGAUAAUGACGGUACUUGAGGAGGAAGCCCCGGCUAACUACGUGCCAGCAGCCGCGGUAAUACGUGGGGGGCUAGCGUUAUCCGGAAUUACUGGGCGUAAAGGGUGCGUAGGUGGUUUCUUAAGUCAGAGGUGAAAGGCUACGGCUCAACCGUAGUAAGCCUUUGAAACUGGGAAACUUGAGUGCAGGAGAGGAGAGUGGAAUUCCUAGUGUAGCGGUGAAAUGCGUAGAUAUUAGGAGGAACACUAG
RNAcentral lists this ribosomal RNA (603 nucleotides) under uncultured Clostridium sp. RNAcentral's name for it is "bacterial SSU rRNA". It matches the Rfam family "Bacterial small subunit ribosomal RNA", at positions 90 to 712 of the family's 1533-position model. The record is from RNAcentral. Lineage: Bacteria; Bacillati; Bacillota; Clostridia; Eubacteriales; Clostridiaceae.